This 253-nucleotide ribosomal RNA is filed under the name uncultured bacterium. RNAcentral describes it as "partial 16S ribosomal RNA". It matches the Rfam family "Bacterial small subunit ribosomal RNA", at positions 524 to 776 of the family's 1533-position model. The record is from RNAcentral.
UACGUAGGUGGCAAGCGUUAUCCGGAUUUAUUGGGCGUAAAGAGAACGCAGGCGGUCUUUUAAGUCUGAUGUGAAAGCCUUCGGCUUAACCGGAGUAGUGCAUUGGAAACUGGGAGACUUGAGUGCAAAAGAGGAGAGUGGAACUCCAUGUGUAGCGGUGAAAUGCGUAGAUAUAUGGAAGAACACCAGUGGCGAAAGCGGCUCUCUGGUCUGUAACUGACGCUGAGGUUCGAAAGCGUGGGUAGCAAACAGG